Molecule: ribosomal RNA, 576 nt
Filed under: uncultured eukaryote
Lineage: Eukaryota
Description: SSU rRNA
Rfam family: Eukaryotic small subunit ribosomal RNA
Source: RNAcentral
CUGGUUGAUCCUGCCAGUAGCCAUAUGCUUGUCUAGAAGAUUAAGCCAUGCAUGUGUAAGUAUUAAUAGAUUUUAAUAGUGAAACUGCGAAUGGCUCAAUAAAACAGUUAUAGUUUAUUCGAUGAUGUUUUGUUAUUUGGAUAACCGUAGUAAUUCUAGGGCUAAUACAUGAACUAAAGAGGAGCAACUUAGAAGUGUUUCUCUGUAUUUAUUAGACUGAAAACUGGUACAGUAGCAAUACUGGCCCCUGGUUGAACCAUAAUAACUCUUACGAAUCGUAUGGCCUUGUGCCGACGAUGAAUCGUUCAAGUUUCUGACCUAUCAAUUCAAGAAGGUAGUGUAUUGGACCACCUUGAUUGUAACGGGUACGGAGAAUUAGGGUUCGAUUCCGGAGAGGGAGCCUGAGAAACGGCUACCACUUCCAAGGAAGGCAGCAGGCGCGCAAAUUACCCAAUCUCAAUACGAGGAGGUAGUGAAUAAAAAUAACAAUCCAGAGCUUGUUAAAAGUUUUGGAAUUGGAAUGAGAACAAUGUAAAUACCUUAACGAGGAACAAUUGGAGGACAAGUCUGGUGCCA